This 730-nucleotide ribosomal RNA is filed under the name Pedococcus dokdonensis. RNAcentral's name for it is "bacterial SSU rRNA". It matches the Rfam family "Bacterial small subunit ribosomal RNA", at positions 21 to 760 of the family's 1533-position model. The record is from RNAcentral. Lineage: Bacteria; Bacillati; Actinomycetota; Actinomycetes; Micrococcales; Intrasporangiaceae.
GGCUCAGGACGAACGCUGGCGGCGUGCUUAACACAUGCAAGUCGAACGGUGAAGGUGGGAGCUUGCUCCUACCGGAUCAGUGGCGAACGGGUGAGUAACACGUGAGUAACCUGCCCCAGACUCUGGAAUAACCCCGGGAAACCGGAGCUAAUACCGGAUACGAGACGAAGCUGCAUGGCUAUCGUCUGGAAAGUUUUUCGGUCUGGGAUGGACUCGCGGCCUAUCAGCUUGUUGGUGAGGUAAUGGCUCACCAAGGCGACGACGGGUAGCCGGCCUGAGAGGGCGACCGGCCACACUGGGACUGAGACACGGCCCAGACUCCUACGGGAGGCAGCAGUGGGGAAUAUUGCACAAUGGGCGAAAGCCUGAUGCAGCGACGCCGCGUGAGGGAUGACGGCCUUCGGGUUGUAAACCUCUUUCAGCAGGGAAGAAGCGAAAGUGACGGUACCUGCAGAAGAAGCACCGGCUAACUACGUGCCAGCAGCCGCGGUAAUACGUAGGGUGCGAGCGUUGUCCGGAAUUAUUGGGCGUAAAGAGCUUGUAGGCGGUUUGUCGCGUCUGCCGUGAAAAUCCGAGGCUCAACCUCGGACUUGCGGUGGGUACGGGCAGACUAGAGUGUGGUAGGGGAGACUGGAAUUCCUGGUGUAGCGGUGAAAUGCGCAGAUAUCAGGAGGAACACCGAUGGCGAAGGCAGGUCUCUGGGCCACUACUGACGCUGAGAAGCGAAAAG